UUUUAUUUGAGAGUUUGAUCCUGGCUCAGGAUGAACGCUGGCGGCGUGCCUAACACAUGCAAGUUGAGCGAUUUACUUCGGUAAAGAGCGGCGGACGGGUGAGUAACGCGUGGGUAACCUACCCUGUACACACGGAUAACAUACCGAAAGGUAUGCUAAUACGGGAUAAUAUAUUUGAGAGGCAUCUCUUGAAUAUCAAAGGUGAGCCAGUACAGGAUGGACCCGCGUCUGAUUAGCUAGUUGGUAAGGUAACGGCUUACCAAGGCGACGAUCAGUAGCCGACCUGAGAGGGUGAUCGGCCACAUUGGAACUGAGACACGGUCCAAACUCCUACGGGAGGCAGCAGUGGGGAAUAUUGCACAAUGGGCGAAAGCCUGAUGCAGCAACGCCGCGUGAGUGAUGAAGGCCUUCGGGUCGUAAAACUCUGUCCUCAAGGAAGAUAAUGACGGUACUUGAGGAGGAAGCCCCGGCUAACUCCGUGCCAGCAGCCGCGGUAAUACGUAGGGGGCUAGCGUUAUCCGGAUUUACUGGGCGUAAAGGGUGCGUAGGCGGUCUUUCAAGUCAGGAG
This 568-nucleotide ribosomal RNA is filed under the name Clostridioides difficile. RNAcentral describes it as "bacterial SSU rRNA". It matches the Rfam family "Bacterial small subunit ribosomal RNA", at positions 1 to 594 of the family's 1533-position model. Lineage: Bacteria; Bacillati; Bacillota; Clostridia; Peptostreptococcales; Peptostreptococcaceae. The record is from RNAcentral.